GAGGAAGAUCUGUUUACAUCCCUCGGUCUUCAUUUCAAGACUUUGGAUAUGGCAACUGGUGAUUUGGGAGCACCUGCAUAUCACAAGUUUGAUAUAGAGGCAUGGAUGUCAGGUCACGGACGGUAUGGUGAGCGCGUUGAGCCUCCGAGAUGAGUAAUGGGCCAGCUAGAAAAGAAAAAACAAGAAAGAAGAAAGAAGAGAGAAAAUUGGAUUUAAGUUAAAAUUGUUCUGUAAUAUAUGUAUUUGAA
Long non-coding RNA from Asparagus officinalis (garden asparagus), 248 nucleotides. RefSeq lists it as uncharacterized. The record is from RefSeq and is a predicted model, not a curated record. NCBI's taxonomy places the organism in Eukaryota, Viridiplantae, Streptophyta, Magnoliopsida, Asparagales, Asparagaceae. The transcript is spliced from 3 exons.